UACGAAGGGUGCAAGCGUUACUCGGAAUUACUGGGCGUAAAGCGUGCGUAGGUGGUGAGUUAAGUCUGUCGUGAAAGCCCCGGGCUCAACCUGGGAAUGGCGAUGGAUACUGGCUCGCUAGAGUGCGGUAGAGGAGAGUGGAAUUCCCGGUGUAGCAGCGAAAUGCGUAGAGAUCGGGAGGAACAUCAGUUGCGAAGGCGGCUCUCUGGACCAGCACUGACACUGAGGCACGAAAGCGUGGGGAGCAAACAGG
This 253-nucleotide ribosomal RNA is filed under the name uncultured bacterium. RNAcentral describes it as "partial 16S ribosomal RNA". It matches the Rfam family "Bacterial small subunit ribosomal RNA", at positions 524 to 776 of the family's 1533-position model. The record is from RNAcentral.